AUGUUCAGAGGGAGAUGAUGCCACAUCUGGUCCAGCUGAUGGAAGGUCUUGAAGUUCUCUGACUGGCCUCGACUGAAGAUGGUCGUCUCACUGGAUUUAAGGUUCAGAUGCUCAGUAACAAACUCCACCAAUGAGCCAACAGGGAAGCUUUAGGUUUAUUAAAUGUUGCUAUGAAGGUAUCGCUGUUUUUCUUUGUGAAUGCAAUGUGCUCCAACUGAAACUUGAAUUAGAACUUAGAAGUAAAUCCUUCCAUCUGAAAGGAUUUAGUUGCAUUAAUAACCUCAUAACAUUCUAAUUUUUAUUCCAGUCUUGGCUGGAAAUAGAAUCUCUGUAUUGAUUCAGGUAAAAACUGAACUUCACAGCAUGUUGGAGCAAAACAACCAGAUGAAAACUGUGAUGGUGUUGGAUUGUCAGACUGUAAUGUUGCAGCUCAAAGCAGCUUUUCUAUCUCAGUUCAUUCUGACAUUCAGCUAUGAAUCAACACAGCAGAUGGUGAUCCAUGCUGUGGAAGUCUCACAUCUCCUGAUUUAAUGGAGCUGCUUUGCACUUUUUACACUGUUUAUUCACCAACACUUUAUUUAAUAAAAGUCCCAUCUAGUUUUUAUGAGGAAUGUGAUGUUUUAAUUUCUCUGUGAAUAACUGCAGUCUAAUGCAACAGCUGGAGUUGUAACAUCUGUCCUGAUAUUGAUCAUGAAGUAUUGAUCAGAAUACUUAUGGUCAGCAGUCAUCCCUGAAGUUUUACAUUAAAAUCUUUACUUGUGUUGUGAACUUUGGUAAGAAGCAGAAACUUUAGCGUUGCCAUGGAUACAUGAGUGUUAAAUUCUGUCCAUGUUUCCAUUUUGGGAAAUGCAGUCCAGUUCCAGAAUGUGGAGGAAUUUAGUCUCACAAUCACAGACAACAAAUAUUAUCUGAAAGUCGGGUUAUUGUUGUUUAUCAGCACAAUACAAAAAGAUUAAUGUUAGAAAUAUUCCAGUUAAGACUCUAGAAUAUCAUGAUUUAUGUAAAUUUACCUCAAUAAUAUGAAUGUUCAGGUUAAGAUUGUACAGUGAUAUUUAUUAUGUAAGUUUAGCUGAUUAAAGUUUAUGACUCUGCACUAAAAUAUUAUUUAAAUUGACAUCAUUAUUAUAAUAUUUAGGGUCAGACCCUACAGUAUUGAGAUUAAGAAAUCAAAUAUUCUAUAAAAUGUAAAUACACUGAACUCAUUUGGAUAUAUUUAAGUGAGACUCUACAAUAUUAUUUGACACAAAUCUAUCUAAAUCAAAAUUUUAAUAAUUUUCACGCCAAACAUUUACUGGACUGAUUUAAAUAUUAAAAUCACUCCUUUCUAAUCCUCUGCUGUACGUUCAAACCUGAGGCCUUAAAUAGAAACACACAAGUAUCUGAUUGAAGGAACUUCUGCAGAGUCCUGAACAUGAUGAUAGAAUUAUAGACAAACUUCAACAAAAGCUGCCUGAGAGUUUACAGGUUUUUAUGUUGGAUUUCUUCAGUAAUUUAAUGAGCGUUAUCAGCAAUAAUCAAGUGUUCAUUUGAUGAACUUCAUUUCCUAAAACAUCCAGAAUUGGAGCUCAUAUCUUUGGCAGCUGUAAAGUUUCUGCUCCUUCAAAGUUCACAACACAAUGAAUGAAUUCCUAAAACACUCUCAAUGCUGGAGAGCGUUUGUGAUGCUGAAGCAGUGACCAGUUUUUCUGUUUCUUCUCUGGAGAUGCACAAUGAGGGACGUCUGCAGAGACUGAGAAAGAGUCUCACCACAUCCUGACAUGAGGAAAAAGACUUUAUUGAAGACUACAAUGAGAAAAACUAUCAGACAGCAGACGGCUGCAUUCAAGGCUACAGGAGGAGCCCUACGAGGACGAGCCAG
Amphiprion ocellaris (clown anemonefish) is the source of this 1858-nucleotide long non-coding RNA. The record is from Ensembl. NCBI's taxonomy places the organism in Eukaryota, Metazoa, Chordata, Actinopteri, Pomacentridae.